AUCAUUUUAGGUUGAAACACUGGUUCUUGUACAAUCAGCAAAGUUAAGUCAUAUUGAGCCUGAUAAGUACUUAGAUGGGUGACCGCUUGGGAAUAUCAGGUGCAGUA
Acanthosepion pharaonis is the source of this 107-nucleotide non-coding RNA. The record is from the annotation of a GenBank genome assembly. Lineage: Eukaryota; Metazoa; Mollusca; Cephalopoda; Sepiida; Sepiidae.